GCAUCUUGAGAAGAAAAUGAUUUCAUUUUAUAUAGAUUCACUGCUUUUUUUUCCUCCUUGAUUUUCCUUACAUUGGGUACAAGAAAAGAACCAAAACAGUAAAACUAGUAUUAUUUGCUGAUUACCUAAUUCCAUCCAAAAUAUAUAUUAUUUCUUCUUCCUCAUGCCUCUGCGAUGCAAUGCACGAUCACACACACACACACACACACAUAUAUAUAUAUAUAUAUAUAUAUAU
RNAcentral lists this long non-coding RNA (235 nucleotides) under Glycine max (soybean). Its description in RNAcentral is "long non-coding RNA (GMAX_LNC003390)". Lineage: Eukaryota; Viridiplantae; Streptophyta; Magnoliopsida; Fabales; Fabaceae. The record is from RNAcentral.